UACGUAGGGUGCGCGCGUUAAUCGGAAUUACUGGGCGUAAAGGGCUCGUAGGCGGCCAACUAAGUCAGACGUGAAAUCCCUCGGCUUAACCGGGGAACUGCGUCUGAUACUGGAUGGCUUGAGUUUGGGAGAGGGAUGCGGAAUUCCAGGUGUAGCGGUGAAAUGCGUAGAUAUCUGGAGGAACACCGGUGGCGAAGGCGGCAUCCUGGACCAACACUGACGCUGAGGAGCGAAAGCCAGGGGAGCAAACGGG
Molecule: ribosomal RNA, 253 nt
Filed under: uncultured bacterium
Lineage: Bacteria
Description: partial 16S ribosomal RNA
Rfam family: Bacterial small subunit ribosomal RNA
Source: RNAcentral